Molecule: ribosomal RNA, 159 nt
Filed under: Mastocarpus sp. clade 7
Lineage: Eukaryota; Rhodophyta; Florideophyceae; Gigartinales; Phyllophoraceae
Also listed under: 1 other name
Description: 5.8S ribosomal RNA
Rfam family: 5.8S ribosomal RNA
About the family: 5.8S ribosomal RNA (5.8S rRNA) is a component of the large subunit of the eukaryotic ribosome. It is transcribed by RNA polymerase I as part of the 45S precursor that also contains 18S and 28S rRNA. Functionally, it is thought that 5.8S rRNA may be involved in ribosome translocation.
Source: RNAcentral
CUCGUGACGGUGGAUGUCUUGGCUCCAGCAACGAUGAAGAACGCAGCAAAAUGCGAUACGUAGUGCGAAUUGCAGAACCCGUGAAUCAUCGAAUCUUUGAACGCAAGUUGCGCUCGCGGGCAAUCCUGCGAGCAUGUCUGUUUGAGUGUCCGCACAAAU